GGCUUCUUGGUAUAGUGGUAGCAUGGCCGCUUCGGGCAAUCCCGCUCCAAUAGGAGCAUACGAUUGCGGUCGACCCGGGUUCGAUUCCCGGAGAAGCCC
Molecule: non-coding RNA, 99 nt
Organism: Cutaneotrichosporon oleaginosum
Lineage: Eukaryota; Fungi; Basidiomycota; Tremellomycetes; Trichosporonales; Trichosporonaceae
Source: the annotation of a RefSeq genome assembly